AUGGGUUGUAAGCUUGGCAAGCAGAUACAACUUCCAUAUCCCUCUAGUAAUUCUGUUUCUCAACGACCUUUUGAACUUGUUCACUCUGAUGUAUGGGGUCCUGCCCCCUUUGUUUCGAAAGGGGGUCACAAAUAUUAUAUAAUUUUCAUUGAUGAUUUUUCUCGCCACACUUGGAUCUACUUUAUGUCAUCUCGUAGUCAAGUGCUUCAAAUUUACAAGUCGUUUGCUACCAUGGUUCGCACUCAGUAUGAUUCCUCUGUUCGAGUUUUUCGUGCUGAUUCGGCUGGCGAGUACUUAUCUCGUGCGCUUCGUGGUUUCCUUGCUGAACAGGGUACCCUUCCUCAGUAUUCCUGUCCUGGUGCACACGCUCAAAAUGGGGUGGCUGAACGCAAACAUCGUCACGUCCUUGAGACUGCUCGGGCUCUUCUUUUAUCUUCUGCUGUUCCCCCGCACUUUUGGGUUGAGGCUGUCUCUACCGCUGUUUAUCUCAUUAAUAUUCAGCCUUCUGUUGCUCUUCAGGGAGGGAUACCAGUUGAUCAUCUAGGUGAUGGUCCAGCUGAUUAUAGUGGUCUACGCCUGUUUGGUUGUGCCUGUUUUGUUCUUCUCCACCCUCAUGAACGCACCAAAUUGACUGCUCAAUCUGUUGAAUGUGUUUUCCUUGGCUACAGUUUGGAGCACAAAGGUUACCGUUGCUGGGACCCUAUUGCUCGAAGACUGAGAAUCUCCAAAGAUGUCACUUUUGAUGAGUCUCGCUCCUUCUACCCUUGUCAUUCUUCUACUGCCACAACCGAGUCGUUAGUCGAGCCUCUCUCUUUUUUGACUCUACCUGAUUCUUCACCUUUAUCGUCACCUGGUAGGUCCACUCCUAGCCUUUCACCUGUGUCUGCUCAUGAGCUUCAGCUUACACAGGAUGAGGUUUCUAUUCCUGACUCUCCUACUCGGGUUGAGCCAUCCACUCUCUCUCCUUUUCCUUUUACCUACUCCCGUCGUGCUCAACACCCUUCUCCCUCUGAUGCGCCACCUUCCACUUCCCCUCUCUCUCCGCUUCCUUUUGUCUACUCCCGUCGUGCUCGGCACCCUUCUCCCUCGGAUGCGCCCACUUCCACUUCCACUCCUUCCCUGUUGGGUCCCAUUCCUUCAGAACCACCUACCCCUCCUGCUCCCCGGUAUAAUCUGCGUGAUCGCCACACUCUCCAGCCUCCUGCAUACUAUGUUGCUGCUGCUACCACUCUUGUUGAGCCGUCUACGUAUCGUGAGGCUGCUGCUCAUUCUGAAUGGCAGCAUGCUAUGGCAGAGGAAAUUCAUGCUCUUGAGCGCACAGGCACUUGGGACCUUGUACCCCUGCCUACAGGCGUUAGACCCAUCACUUGCAAAUGGGUCUACAAGGUUAAGACACAUUCAGAUGGUUCUCUCGUGCGCUACAAAGCUCGUCUUGUUGCGCGUGGCUUCCAGCAGGAGUAUGGUCGUGACUAUGAUGAGACUUUUGCUCCUGUUGCUCACAUGACCACUGUUCGCACUCUUUUGGCUGUUGCUGCUGUUCGGCAGUGGUCCAUCUCUCAAUUAGAUGUCAAGAAUGCCUUCUUGAAUGGUGAGCUGCGGGAAGUGGUCUAUAUGCAGCCGCCUCCUGGCUAUACUGUCUCUGAUGGCACUGUCUGUCGCCUUCGGCGCGCUCUUUACGGGCUGAAACAAGCUCCUCGUACCUGGUUUGAGCGUUUCUCCGCCGUCAUCACAAGGAUCGGGUUCUCUGCUAGUGUUCAUGAUCCUGCUCUGUUUAUUCACACUUCUCCUCGCGGUCGCACCCUUUUACUACUCUAUGUUGAUGACAUGAUUAUCACAGGGGCUGACCACCAAUUCAUUGAUUUUGUGAAGAAACGUCUACAUGAGCAAUUCUUGAUGACUGAUUUGGGUUCUCUUCGCUACUUUCUUGGACUUGAGAUCAUUUCUUCCCCUGAGGGUAUUUAUCUCUCUCAAGAGAAGUACAUCCAAGAUCUUCUCACGCGUGCCUGCCUCACUGAUCAGCGCACGGUUGACACUCCUAUGGAGUUUGGUCUCCAUCUUCGUCCUGGUGAGGGUGAACCCCUUGCAGAUCCCACACGCUACCGCCAUCUUGUUGGGAGCCUUGUCUAUCUAGGCAUCACUCGUCCUGACAUUUCUUAUGUUGUGCACAUUCUAAGUCAGUUUGUCUCUGCUCCCACUCAACUUCACUACAGUCACCUUCUUCGUGUUCUUCGUUACCUUCGUGGUACCGUGACUCGUCGCUUAUUCUUCCCUCGCUCUAGCUCUCUUCAGCUUCAGGCCUACUGUGAUGCUACCUGGGCCAGCGAUCCCACUGAUCGCCGCUCUCUCUCUGCCUAUUGUGUUUUUCUUGGCUCCUCCCUGAUUGCCUGGAAGAUCAAGAAGCAGAAUGCUGUAUCUCGCUCCAGUGCUGAGGCUGAGCUGCGAGCUAUGGCGUCCGUGACUGCAGAAAUUACUUGGCUACGAUGGCUUCUUCAGGAUUUUGGUGUUUCCACUGCUACACCGACCCCUCUGCUCUCCGACAGCACUGGGGCACUCAGCAUUGCCCAUGAUCCUGUUAAGCAUGAGCUCACCAAGCACAUCGGUGUUGAUGCCUCCUACACUCGUUCUCAGGUGCAAGACAGAAUUGUGGCCCCUCAGUAUGUGCCCUCGGAGCUUCAGCUUGCUGAUUUUCUGACGAAAGCUCAGACACGGUCCCAACACAGCUUUUUCCUGUCCAAACUCGGUGUCCAAGAUCCCCCUUGA
Molecule: ribosomal RNA, 2760 nt
Filed under: Triticum aestivum (bread wheat)
Lineage: Eukaryota; Viridiplantae; Streptophyta; Magnoliopsida; Poales; Poaceae
Description: partial small subunit ribosomal RNA
Source: RNAcentral